AAGCGCAUACGGUGGAUGCCUUGGCAGUCAGAGGCGAUGAAAGACGUGGUAGCCUGCGAAAAGCUUCGGGGAGUCGGCAAACAGACUUUGAUCCGGAGAUGUCUGAAUGGGGGAACCCAGCCAUCAUAAGAUGGUUAUCUUGUACUGAAUACAUAGGUGCAAGAGGCGAACCAGGGGAACUGAAACAUCUAAGUACCCUGAGGAAAAGAAAUCAACCGAGAUUCCCUUAGUAGUGGCGAGCGAACGGGGACUAGCCCUUAAGUGGCUUUGAGAUUAGCGGAACGCUCUGGAAAGUGCGGCCAUAGUGGGUGAUAGCCCUGUACGCGAAAAUCUCUUAGUCAUGAAAUCGAGUAGGACGGAGCACGAGAAACUUUGUCUGAAUAUGGGGGGACCAUCCUCCAAGGCUAAAUACUCGUUGCCGACCGAUAGUGAACCAGUACCGUGAGGGAAAGGUGAAAA
Molecule: ribosomal RNA, 459 nt
Filed under: Schizochytrium aggregatum
Lineage: Eukaryota; Bigyra; Thraustochytrida; Thraustochytriidae
Description: partial Bacterial large subunit ribosomal RNA
Rfam family: Bacterial large subunit ribosomal RNA
Source: RNAcentral